This 448-nucleotide ribosomal RNA is filed under the name uncultured bacterium. RNAcentral describes it as "bacterial SSU rRNA". It matches the Rfam family "Bacterial small subunit ribosomal RNA", at positions 329 to 794 of the family's 1533-position model. The record is from RNAcentral.
GGCCAGACUCCUACGGGAGGCAGCAGUGGGGAAUAUUGCACAAUGGGGGAAACCCUGAUGCAGCAACGCCGCGUGAGUGAAGAAGUAUUUCGGUAUGUAAAGCUCUAUCAGCAGGGAAGAGAAUGACGGUACCUGACUAAGAAGCCCCGGCUAACUACGUGCCAGCAGCCGCGGUAAUACGUAGGGGGCGAGCGUUAUCCGGAUUUACUGGGUGUAAAGGGGGCGCAGACGGCGAUGCAAGCCAGGAGUGAAAGCCCGGGGCCCAACCCCGGGACUGCUCUUGGAACUGCGUGGCUGGAGUGCAGGAGGGGGAGGCGGAAUUCCUGGUGUAGCGGUGAAAUGCGUAGAUAUCAGGAGGAACACCGGUGGCGAAGGCGGCCUGCUGGACUGCAACUGACGUUGAGGCCCGAAAGCGUGGGGAGCAAACAGGAUUAGAUACCCGGGUAAU